UGUAAGCUAGAGAAUAAGGCCCGAACAAACCGGAAAGUGUGCGUUUUAAAGACGCAGGCUAGUCAAUAGUGUAGAAGAAUCUAAUUUUCGGUACAAGAAACACAUGGCGCUUGUAAUUGCUUGUAAGAACAUGAUAUAAUUUUUCUUGUUCAAACAUCAAAGAAAGCUGUUAUUAGUUGAUUUAUAGUUGAUUUACGUCUUUAAAGCUAGUUAUGUGCUUUUGGUUUGCUUAAUUUUGGGUAUAAGUUCAUAAUAUUUUCUACAUUCAUGUCACCAUCCUGGGUUUACAUUCAAAGUAGUGGACUACAAUUUAUUUCAUUGAGCAUUUUUGUCUAUAGUUUGGUGAGCUUGAGUAUAAGCAGGGUAUAAAUAACAAUGUCAAGUAAUUUAUCCCUUAGGAUAAAACCAAUCGCAUGUCUUUAGUGUGUUCGAAAAUGCAACGGUCUAGAUAUUCAUGCAAGCAUGAGAUCAAGAGACAGAUAUAGGCAUGGAAAGCCAGUGAAAAUAUUAUAUCCUCGCAAACUUUAAACACCGCCAGAUUACUGUUUUCCAAAAGUAGUUGUUCAUCCGAGAACUAGACAUUUUGUUGCCAAUAAACAGUGAACAAUACGCUCUGAGAAUAAAGCCGAUGUUCUGGGAUGUUGGCGCGUUCUAGAGACCCCUUUUAGGGUUAGCGAUGAGUAAGUUCGAGAUUUGCCGAGGCGCCGAGACCGCGUUUUAGAAUCCGAGCCCGAGACUUUAAGUCAAAUUUCGGAAUCAGUGUCCGAGCUUUUACUAGCUUGAGUUCGGACAUCAGAUAACUUGCUCGAGGUAUGUCAUAAACAUUAGUUGAAAAAGAAUAGCUAGAGCGGAAAGGCUUAAGACUCGAGACUCGAAAAAGAGGGAAACCCUUAGCAGUAACAACAUAAAACAGAUCGCGUUUAACAGAGACUCCGAGAACGUGGUAGAACAAGAGGCUCCAAGACCCUAAAAUGUCGGGGGGAAAAACGAGACUUCGAGACUUCCGUAAAAACGCCGAGAUUCCGAGACUUUGCGAAAUUUUUGCGAGAUUUUCGAAAUUUUAAGAAAGACAUGACAUAUUUGGUAUAGCGAAAAGAGAUUCUGGGAGAGCUGUGCAAAGAAGAAAAAGGUCAUUACUAGGGUAAGCCAAUUCGAGUGUCCUUGGUGUUGGUUUUAGAAAUAGCUUGUUUAAUGACUUGUUAAAGUUCGAGUACUAUACGUAGUUUUGAAGAUGUAAGGCUACUCCUUUUAUUUUCUAAAGUCGUCUUCUCCAUUUGAUCUCUUCUGACCCCUAGUCCGCGUUAAUUAUCGUUAUCACCGGCAAUCUGCAUCUGUUGACAGAAGGCUAUUUGUAUUGACCUUUUUGCGGGAUAAGAAUGAUUCCGUGUGAUUGGUCAAGUCGCGUCGAAGAACGCGGAAUCACGAAGGCUCAAAUUUCAAGAUCAUUUCAUUGGCUGACUGGCGUUCUCCAGACGCGUUGAAUUAAGGCUAUUGAAGUGACGGUCUCUGAUUGGUUGACCCGCGUUUUGAGGACGUAAAAACAACGCUCUCGCAAAAGUACACAUUUAAAUGGGAAAGUACAUUUUUAAAUGGGAAAGUGUUCAUUGCAUCAAUAAGAUUCCAAAUUUCAGCACAAAGCUUGUCCAGCUGAUGCAAUACAUCCAAUGCAAGACUUAAUCUGAUACAAAAUUUCCCUGAUAUUUUCCAUAAAAGCCUGUUAUAUUAGAGUAGGGAAAAUUAGUAUGUUAAAGUUAAAAAUGGUUAAAUACACCCAAUGCAAGACUAGAUCUGACACGUAGAACAACAAUGCAAGACUUUAUCUGAUACAAAAUUUUCCUAAAAUUCCUAAUAAACCCCGCUUAUAUUACAGUUGGCGAAAUAAGUAUGUAAAAGGUAACAGAUGGUUAAAUACAUCCAAAAACUUGAUCUUUUACUAAGUUCUUCUGAAAUCUCUUAUAGAAGCCUCCUACUACAGUAGAGAGAAAACAAUGUACCUUGACAUUCUCUACCCCAAUUAGAGCACCAAGCUCAGCAUCGAAAGCUUUGAUCCUUGUGGUAGACUCUGCAAGCUGAGGGGAUACAACCAAAAUAAUAUGGCCCAACAUUAAAGUGCUGAGUUAUCACUGUACCUCCUCCUACUUAUUGUUAAGUUAGGGGCAACAAACAUUUAAACUGUAUGGGGGGUAAAAUAUUUGAGGUGGUUUUUUUAAAAUAUUUAUUCAUUUUAACAACUUGCAGUUUCUAUACCUGUUUUUGCAGUUUUUCAGAGGGUUUCUUCAUGUAUUCUUCUCUGGUUUUCUAAAAAUGAAGAGCACCAAAAAGAAUGAUCAAAGAUAGUCUAUCGAUGCACACUGUCUUUGCCAUCAAAAGCGAUAUACCUCAUAGAAUUGUCGUUCCUGGUCCAAUACCCUCCGUAUAGACAUAGUCUUCUCAUCUUUACAGGGGUCUCGCGGCUGAACAGAAAAAUACAAGUCAACAUGGUUCAUUUUCUUAUUAGAGAUUUUAAGCAGACACUGCAUCUAUUGAAAAAUUUUAAGUUUACAGUUGGUACUACAGGCCAGUGUCCCCAGCAAUUCUUUAGACAGGUUUUCACACCACUCAAACCCUGGCCCGGCUCUGGCCCUCUUACUUUUGAGAAUAAGCCUGUACCAUGGAACCAUCAGGCCGCUGGAUUGUGGCCCGCUCUCCAGUAAUGACUGUCAGUUAAUACCCAGAGUGUCACGGGUACCAUUGACCAGCUUUACAGUAAAAAAAGAUACCCUGACCCUGGAAUGAACACCAUCCCUCUGGCGUAAAAAGCAAAUCAUGUUCCACUGAACUUUUGCAGCUCAUUUAUGUGCAAGAGCUAUCAAAUCUCAUUGUUAUGUCUUUCACUUACUGUUGCAGGAGGAGACACAGGUUGUUUAUCUUGGGAAGAUGCUGAAAAUUAACCAGAUUUUUAUUAUCUUUAAACAGCUUUAUUUAUACCAAAAAUAAAAUCAAUUACAGAGGUUAUAUGCAAUGAAAAUUGCAUUUGCAUAUGCAAUGAAAAUUAAAUAAACUCAAUAUAAAGCAAUACUGUAUAAUCUAUACAAUGCUGGGUUGAGGAUCAAUAAAAAAUCUUUAUCAUUAUGGAAAAAGCUGGAAGGUAAGGACAAUAAUGCAGUUUCUGGAUAAGUUUCAAAAUAAGGCAAAGAAAAAAAAGGCUUUUGUUUAAUUAGCACAAUCUUGGUUGAAAGAAUAUAAUCAAUAAAACUCAUAAUAUACUCAUAAAGGUGCGAUUUUCACCCUCUGAAUUUCUAGAAUUUGUAACAAAAGCAAAACUUAGUUCAUGCAGGCAGGUGAGACAUACCAGAGGAAAAGGAUGAAGGUGGUUUUCCAAGCAGCGUCAGAGCAACAUAUGAUCCCGCUGGAAAGAUUCAUACAUCACAUUGUAAGUAAAGCUGGACCUCAUCCCAAAGACUGGAAACACAGGAGAAAUAAGUUCGACCCACUUACAACACCCUAAUCAAAUCAAGGCCUGAAUCCAAAAAGAGGCCCCAAGUUUGGAGCUGGGAUUUAAACUUGGACAGCAAAGGUGAAUAACAGUAUGUAGGUGUUUGUGUAUUUAUUUAAACCAGCUGUAAUCACAGGUAUCAUGUGAUAGAAGUAGUACUCACACUUGAUGAGGUUCACAACUUCAAUAUGGUUGAGAUGUGUCACCACUGUACCAUUGACCUAGAGAAAGGGGGGAAAACUCCAUUAAUGAAAUUCAUUUUGUAAUGACUUCAAUACUCUGUUGGCGAAGGCAAAACAUAUCUUUAUAAUGGAAAAAAAAUUCACCUCAGGAGCUCAAUGAAAAAAUAACAAACAAAACAAAGAAAGUUCAAUUAAGGAAAGAUAUUGAUGAUGCACUUGGUCACAAAAAUAAUUUAACCAGAGCUGGCUGUGAAACGCAUGGUUUCUUGUCCCGUCCUUCCUCAAGCACUUUGCACUUGCUACACCGGCUCUAGCAAGGAAUGAUGCAAAAAAAACACAGGAGAUAUUACUACUUACUAUAAUACUACCUACUUGACUUAAGGUUACAGUUCACCUUCAUGAUCCUG
Long non-coding RNA from Nematostella vectensis (starlet sea anemone), 4064 nucleotides. RefSeq lists it as uncharacterized. The record is from RefSeq and is a predicted model, not a curated record. The transcript is spliced from 3 exons. Lineage: Eukaryota; Metazoa; Cnidaria; Anthozoa; Actiniaria; Edwardsiidae.